ACCCUAUCAAUAUUGCCUCUGCUUUUCUGACUGAUAACGGAGUAGUGCAAUAUUGCUUAUAGGGUCU
Molecule: microRNA precursor, 67 nt
Organism: Hucho hucho (huchen)
Lineage: Eukaryota; Metazoa; Chordata; Actinopteri; Salmoniformes; Salmonidae
Source: Ensembl